This 497-nucleotide ribosomal RNA is filed under the name uncultured bacterium. RNAcentral describes it as "partial 16S ribosomal RNA". It matches the Rfam family "Bacterial small subunit ribosomal RNA", at positions 28 to 507 of the family's 1533-position model. The record is from RNAcentral.
GAUGAACGCUGGCGGCGUGCCUAAUACAUGCAAGUCGAGCGAACAGAUGAGGAGCUUGCUCCUCUGACGUUAGCGGCGGACGGGUGAGUAACACGUGGAUAACCUACCUAUAAGACUGGGAUAACUUCGGGAAACCGGAGCUAAUACCGGAUAAUAUAUUGAACCGCAUGGUUCAAUAGUGAAAGACGGUUUUGCUGUCACUUAUAGAUGGAUCCGCGCCGCAUUAGCUAGUUGGUAAGGUAACGGCUUACCAAGGCAACGAUGCGUAGCCGACCUGAGAGGGUGAUCGGCCACACUGGAACUGAGACACGGUCCAGACUCCUACGGGAGGCAGCAGUAGGGAACCUUCCGCAAUGGGCGAAAGCCUGACGGAGCAACGCCGCGUGAGUGAUGAAGGUCUUCGGAUCGUAAAACUCUGUUAUUAGGGAAGAACAAAUGUGUAAGUAACUAUGCACCUCUUGACGGUACCUAAUCAGAAAGCCACGGCUAACUACGUG